Molecule: long non-coding RNA, 3187 nt
Filed under: Homo sapiens (human)
Lineage: Eukaryota; Metazoa; Chordata; Mammalia; Primates; Hominidae
Description: HSALNT0007997
Source: RNAcentral
CGAGUAGCUAGGACUACAGGCAUGUGCCACCACGCUCAGCUACUUUUGUUUUUUGUUUGUUUGUUUGUUUGUUUUAGUAGAGAUGGGGUUUCACUUUGUUGGUUAGGCUGGUCUUGAACCCCUGACCUCAGGUGAUCCGCCCACCUAGGCCCCCCAAAGUAUUGGGAUUACAGGAGUGAACCACUGCGCCCGGCCUCGAAUGUGAGUGCGUUAAAACCCAGAUCGGGUCUGAUUGGGGUUGGCACCCAGGUGGCUCCAUAAUUGUUGCUGUCCUGAAUUAUUGCCCUCUUUGCUACUUGGACCGAACCCCAUCUUGGGACCACCGACUUCCUCUGACUCCUGGUCAGGCUCCUGGGCGGCAAAUCCUGGCCCCUGGUAUGGUCCCGCCUGCCUCUCUGUCCCCUUGUCUACCUGACCAGACCUCUGAACUUCAAGGCCUGGAUGCCCUGUCUCUCCUCCUGUGAGGCUCUGUCCUACCUCAUGUUGGGACCUAGGGCGCUCUGUUGUACAACUCCAGGGAGCACCAUUGUGUCUUCUGUAAAUGGCAGCUCCUGGAACACAGUGAGCCCUCAAUAGGGCAUGUCAGCUGUGGGCUCAGACAUCCUUUGGGUCUGGCAGUGCUCCAUUUCAUGUGCCCUGUCACCCUCACCCCUCUUUUUCCAUCCCACUUCUCCUAGCUGGACCAAGCUAGGCGUCAUCUACAAGCCCGGUGUGCUGACCAGGGAAUGUGUGGGGCUUGGGGCAUGGGGACAAUAAAUAACAUCACUUUUCUCAUUUCCCAGGCAGGUAACCAAUUGAAAGAUAAGAUACCAUAGACAGACAUCAACUUUAUUCCUGACUAAAGCUCAAAAGAAGGGCGUGGCGUAGAUUUACAGUGACCAUCCUAACACUCACGCGCAGAGUCACACGGUCCCACACUGGGCUGGACCAGCCCUGCUAAGCCCACAAGAGGUGGGGAGAACAGCAGCCGCUUCCUCUUUGUGGGGCCCAGGCCUGAGCUUCCCUCCGUUCCUGCCCCGGAUCUGACCACUGGGAUUGUGGGAGAGGGUGUCAAAGGACAGUUUUCUCCCAUAGUUUUCCCUUCCAGGGAGAAGAGUGGAAAUCCCCUCAUCUCAAAGGCAACAUGAGAUUGGAGAAUGUACUCUCAAAUCCCCAAACAGCAACAGAAUUGUUCUGCUUGCUUCAGAGCAGAGGCUCCGCAGCCCUUUCCAGACCUCUCCCAAGCGUGGAAAUGGACGAAGGGCUGGAUGGGGCUCAGAGGGGAGGUCAGGCGGGACUCCCUCAGACAGCAGCUGGGGUUCCUCUGUUCCAGGCCCAGCUCUCACUGAAACAGGAGAGGGUGUGAAGGAAUGGAUUUGGAACUGUCAAGAACUCCUUCCUUAGUGGGCAGUGGAGGUAAUGCAGGGUUCAGACCAUCUGUGCCCUGGACAGAGGCCUCUUUCUUCCCCAGGAAUGCUAAGCACAUGGGCAUCCUGAUACCUCAACUCCUCCAGUCCCAAAUACUCUGCCUGUUUGUCCCCUUUGUCCUGAGCCACCCCGUAGGACCUGCAGGUCAGGCACUGACUUCAUGUCAGGUCCCCGAAGCAGUUUUGUUCUCUCAGCAGUGUCCACUGGCCUGCAGCCAGGCACCUCUCUCCCCCAGCCUGGGUCACUGGCAAGGGAGCAAGAAGAGUUCUGGGCUCACAGCAGGCAGUGGAGUGUAGUCACAGAGCCUGAUCCGGCUUGAAAUCCCAGAUCCUUUGCUUACUAGGCUGUGUGGCCUUAGGUGAGUUACUUAAUCUCUCCGUGCUUCAGUUUCUGCAUAUGUAAAACAGGGAUAAUAUCUAGCUCACUGGGUUAUGAUGAGACGUAAGUAACUUCAUACAAACCCCUUAGGACUGAUGCCUGGGCAUUUCUAAGUACUCAGUGAAGGCAAGCUGCUGUUUUUAUGGGCCCAGGUCUAGGAAAAAAGAAUCAAACAGCCAGGGGAAAGGGGAUGCUCUCCACUGUAUAUUAAGUUCUAUCAUAGGGACCAUUUUAGCUAAACACAGAAAAACAGAGGAGGGGGCUGGGUGUGGUGGCUCAUGCCUGUAAUCCCAGACCUUAGGAGGCUGGAUUGCUUGAGCCCAGGAGUUCGAGACCAGCCUGGGCAAUAAAGUGAGACCCCCAUCUACAAAAGAUACAAAAUUUAGCUGGGUGUGGUGGCGCAUGCCUGUAGUUCCAGCUACUAGGGGGCAGGGUGAGGUGGGAGGGUAACUUGAGCCUGGGAGGCAGAGGUUGCAGUGAGCUGAGAUUGCAUCACUGGUCUCCAGCCUGGGCGACAGAGGGAGAUCCUAUCUCAAAAAAAAAAAAAAAAAAAAGACAGAGGAGGAACAAGGAACAAUUAUCCCCCAUUUUACAGAUCAAAAGCUGAGUGAAGCAGUGGUCCAGCUGGAAUUCAACACCUGAGAUAUCUGACUCCAGAUACCAGCCCUUCCUUGCUUCCCACUAGCUGCCUAACCCAGAGAGGAGAUUGGGAAAAGAGAAACAAGUUACAGAAUUCAAGAUGUCCCACUCAAACAUGGUAGCCACACUGAACUGAAUGAAGGCCCCCAAAUGCCUGCUUUCCCUUCUUCCAGCCUCUGCAGUGAAACUGCCAUUGCAAACUUGUAACAGACAGUGAAAGAGAUCUGACCUAACCAACUUCAUCUUGCUUCUAACCUCCAAGCUGUCCUUGUUGGUUCCUGGGCACAGGCUGAACUGACUUUGGGAGAAAGUUUAUAGUUUAAAACAAAGACGAUAACAGCCCUUUCCCAAAACAAACCUCCUUCUUGCCUGGGGACUAGACUGCCUUUGCAGGACAAGAAAUUAGCCACAAGAUUAGAAAUUAUGGUUUAGGAGUCAUGCAGCUGGAGACUACCAGGUUCUGACCCUCCCUAAACUGCUCCUCAGAUCAGUGCUUGAGACAUUUUGCAGACCCUGCACUUGAUGGAUCGGCUGGCACCACCCAGAUCAAUAAACUGGCUCAUCUGAUCUUGCAGCCUCCACCCAGGAACUGACUCAGCGCAAGAAGACAGCUUCGACUCUGUAUGAGUUCAUCUCCAACCUGACCAAUCAGCACUCCCGGCUCACUGGCUUCCCCCCAUCCACCAAGUUGUCCUUAAAACUCUGCUCCCCGAAUGCUUGGGGAGACUUAUUUGAGUAAUAAUAAAACUCUGUUCUUCUGCAC